CCAACAGGGAUGGCCCCAGUAACGGCGAGUGAAGCGGCCACAGCUCAAAUUUGAAAUCUGGCCCCCGGGCCCGAGUUGUAAUUUGCAGAGGAUGCUUCGGGCGCGGCGCCUUCCAAGUCCCCUGGAACGGGGCGCCACAGAGGGUGAGAGCCCCGUACGGUUGGACGCCAAGCCCGUGUGAAGCUCCUUCGACGAGUCGAGUAGUUUGGGAAUGCUGCUCUAAAUGGGAGGUAGACCCCUUCUAAAGCUAAAUACCGGCUGGAGACCGAUAGCGCACAAGUAGAGUGAUCGAAAGAUGAAAAGAACUUUGAAAAGAGGGUUAAACAGCACGUGAAAUUGUUGAAAGGGAAGCGCUUGUGACCAGACUUGCGCCGGGGCGAUCCUCUGGCGUUCUCGCCAGGGCACUCGCCCCGGGGCAGGCCAGCGUCGGUUUGGGCGGGCGGAUAAGGGCGUCGGGCACGUGGCUCCCUCGGGAGUGUUAUAGCCCGGCGCGCGAUGCUCCCGCCCGGACCGAGGUUCGCGCUCUGCAAGGACGCUGGCGUAAUGGUCACCAGCGGCCCGUCUUGAAACACGGACCAAGGAGUCGAGGUUCUGCGCGAGUGUAUGGGUGCCAAACCCGCACGCGCAAUGAAAGUGAACGUAGGUGGGAGCCUCGGCGCACCACCGACCGAUCCUGAUGUUCUCGGAUGGAUUUGAGUAGGAGCGUUGGGCCUCGGACCCGAAAGAUGGUGAACUAUGCUUGGAUAGGGUGAAGCCAGAGGAAACUCUGGUGGAGGCUCGCAGCGGUUCUGACGUGCAAAUCGAUCGUCAAAUCUGAGCAUGGGGGGCGAAAGACUAAUCGAAACCAU
This 848-nucleotide ribosomal RNA is filed under the name Chaetosphaeria sp. RNAcentral describes it as "partial large subunit ribosomal RNA". It matches the Rfam family "Eukaryotic large subunit ribosomal RNA", at positions 65 to 943 of the family's 3401-position model. The record is from RNAcentral. Lineage: Eukaryota; Fungi; Ascomycota; Sordariomycetes; Chaetosphaeriales; Chaetosphaeriaceae.